This 482-nucleotide ribosomal RNA is filed under the name uncultured bacterium. RNAcentral describes it as "bacterial SSU rRNA". It matches the Rfam family "Bacterial small subunit ribosomal RNA", at positions 30 to 487 of the family's 1533-position model. The record is from RNAcentral.
ACUAAACGCUGGCGGCGUGCCUAACACAUGCAAGUCGUACGAGAAAGUCGGCUUCGGCUGAUGAGUAAAGUGGCGCACGGGUGAGUAACGCGUGGAUAAUCUGCCCUUGAGUGUGGAAUAACGUACCGAAAGGUGCGCUAAUACCGCAUAAUGCCUGGCAACACAAGUUGUCCGGCCAAAGAAGGCCUCUGUUUACAAGCUUUUGCUCAAGGAUGAGUCCGCGUACCAUUAGCUAGUUGGUGGGUAACGGCCUACCAAGGCUACGAUGGUUAGCUGGUCUGAGAGGAUGAUCAGCCACACUGGAACUGAGACACGGUCCAGACUCCUACGGGAGGCAGCAGUGAGGAAUAUUGCGCAAUGGGGGCAACCCUGACGCAGCAACGCCGCGUGAGUGAGGAAGGUUUUCGGACUGUAAAGCUCUGUCGAGCGGGAAGAAAUGUACCAUGGCUAAUAUCCAUGAUAUUUGACGGUACCGCUAGAGG